RNAcentral lists this non-coding RNA (45 nucleotides) under Trichobilharzia regenti. The record is from RNAcentral. Lineage: Eukaryota; Metazoa; Platyhelminthes; Trematoda; Strigeidida; Schistosomatidae.
AUCCAGAGGACGAGUCUCAAACAAGACGAAGUGCUCACCUUGGAU